ACAUCAAUGUGUGGUUGCCUCUUGCGCGCCUCCUACUGAGGAACCUGGUCCACAACCCAGGAUUGUGCUUUGCCUAGGAGUCGAACCAGCAAGCCCUUGCUCCGCAGGGCGGCUUUCAAUCCACUGAGCCACACCAGCCAGGACUAGAAUACUACUUUUUCUCCCCACUACUUAGCACAGUGCUGUGGCAUCUUUGCUGCUUGGUUACCUGAUCUGGUCAGGUCUCUUUGUUCUUUAGCCAAGUUUUUCUAGUUAGUUGCAUUGAGUGUUUUUGUCAACUGUUAUAGGUGAAAUACAAUUUAGUAUGAAAAAAAGGAAGAGUUCCAGGUGUGUGUUUUAGUAUGCAAAUGCAUUUCUAUUUUUAUAUUUGCAUACUGUUGACUUGCUGUCUGAAUUGCUUAUUGUAUUUGGAAUUUAACCGCUACAUGACCUGAGUAAGAUUGUUAAAACUAGAGAUUUGAACACCAAACCAGAGUGAACUAUACUCAUAUUCUUAAACCCAAGCUGAAGAUAUUACUGAGGUGUUUUACUUUUUAACUAACUGAACCAGAAUUUUUCUUUUUAAUUUAGAAAGCAUCCAGUGGAAACAACUAUUUUCUAAAAUGAUUACAAUGUAACAUAAAAAUAUUCUCCCAGUGAUACAUCAUUUGAUUUAAAACACCAUAUACCUCCUUGGGUAUUAUAAGAUUUGCUUCAAUUCAAAUAUAUUUAUUGCAUUUUGUGAAUAUUUUUCUUCUGGCAUGAUACAGGAAAGUAAACUAUAUUUGCUUUCAUAUUUUUUUUCUGGGUAUGAACCCAGUGGUACUAACUGGUGGCUAAAAAUGCUGCAUGUAAUUUUGAGGGAUAUUGUUCCUGCAUGUAGACAAGGAGAGAUAUUUAUAGAAAUGAUGCAGCAUUUUACCAUUCAGAUUUAUCACUGAACAAUUUAGUCUACCAGGCUUGAUUUCUCUUUCUGCUGAAUUUAGUGGAAUAACUUAUCAGUAUUGGACAGUUGUGUAAAAGUAGUGAAUUACUUAUUAGCUUGCCGUAUAGAUGGUGCUUUGACAGUUCAAUUAAGGUUUCAUUAAUAACUGUUUUCUGUGUUUUAUCUCAAAGUAGGGGUUCCAGCUUACCUUGUAAUAUGAUCAUGGGGUAGUGUGAGAUACACUCAUUGCCAAUGAUAGAAUAUUGUUCAUGGGUUAUCAAAGCAUUAUAUGUAAUUUGAACUUUAUCAGAUGUCAGGGCUUCCAUAUGGUCAUUUUCAUAAUGCAAAACCAAAACACAAAACAACACCCAAACAGAAACCUAAGUCAUUUGGUGAGGAUAUUAUAAAUACCUUUUUGUCUCUAGUUCAUUGUUACCAGAGGAAAUGAGUAUAUUGUACUUAAAGAUGUGACCACUCUGGGACAAAGAGUAUUCCGGUAUAAGGCUUCAGAGUCUUAUGAGGUAUAUACUUGCAAGAAUUUGAGGAAGCUGAUUACAUGAGAGAGGUUUGAGGGCUACUAAACCCAGGCAGUUUUGAUACUGGCAAGCUGAACUCUCACAGAUUGAAUUAAUGGCACACAUUGCCAUUUUAAUAAAAGUGAAUGUAGAGAAAGCUUCUGCUUUAUAAAAUUAGUGUUUUUGGUUUUUUACUUACCUGAUUAAUUGAAAGAUAAAGGUCCUGGAAUUAAUUUGGUCUGGUGCCUUUGUACUGCAAGUUGGAGAACUUUGAAUUUUAUUCUUACACCUUCCACAGGUUACUAUUAUUUGUCUUUAAAAAUUUAAGUAUCACUGUAGUGAUACUUAGUUACCAGCUGUGAUAAUAAUAGCUAUCUCAUAGGAUCACUGUAAGGAUUAAAUGAGGUAAUCCUUGUAAACCAAUGAAUACACUGUCUAGCACACAGUAAGCACUCAAUAAACGCUAGCUUCUUAAAAUUGUAAUUAUUAUUGGUAGAAAAAUCAGACUGUUGUAUUAAUAUGCAUAGAAGUGGUUUCAUAUAUGUUCAGAUUUACCAGGUGAAAUUGACAUGCAGACUGUUUUUGGAGGUGAGACUUUACCAUAGAGUGUCCACUUAGUUGUGCUAUACGCCAGGGAGAGUCAGGGGGAAAUAUUUGGUCCUGUUCUCUCAAUUACUUAAAAAACAAACACAGAAAAAUGUAUAUACAUGUUUGUAUGGAUUUGGUAGGUGUUCUAGUCAGAUCAUUUCUACUGUUUUAGGAAGUGUUAUGGAUUUACAUACUGGGAAGGAAAUUAGGAAAUGAAUUUUUUUUCUUCUCAGAAUGUAACAAAUGAAGGACAUUCUUGUUAUCAAAGUCCAGCUUUACUGGAAAUACAUUUUACUUGUGUUUGGAUGAAAAAGUGUGACUUGCUAAAUAAAAUCCCAGUGAGGUGGGGAAGUAUGUGUGAUUUAAUGGAGAAUUAUUCAGUGUAAAUCCUUAUGCAAUGCAAAGAUUGUCUAGCUUGCUCAUCUUGUGAAAAUUAGAGCCAUUUUUUUUCCUGGUCCUCUUAUUCCUCAGAUGGCAAAUUAUAAUUUGGAAGAAUGGGGAAUGUUUUGGGGAUAUGUUUGGGGGAAAAUCCUGGAUUUAGUUGCAUCAGAAAGAUGUAUACUAAAGUAUAGUAAAGUAUAUUUUGCCAUUAACUGUGUUUUACAGGUUAAGAAUCUGUAGUAUUGAAGUUUCUCUAUUGGCCAAGAUUAACAGCCACAGCUGGAUUCUUUGGGGAUGGGGUGAGGGGGGUCUGCUUUGUGAAAAGAGCUUUGAAGAAGCAGAGCCUGUACCAUAAAAGGAAAUGGUUGCUCUUCUAGACAUAACAACACACUUGUGUGAAACUAGAAAUGUGGAUAUCUAUAUUGUGAAUUUCAACUACAAACGAACAUACUUUUAGAAACUGCAGGUUUGUGGUAGUAAAGUAAAGAAAGCAAAGAGAAGGAAUAAAAGUAACAUAAUCUAAUGACACUGAGCUGGUUUCUUAGUGAUGGAAACUCCAUAGCCUGUAACAUUGGAAGUCAUUUUGUACGUAGGAUGUACUUUUAGAAACUGUAGGUUCAUGAUCAUGAAGUAGAGAAAGCAGAGUUAGAGAAUAAAAGUAAUACAAUCUGAUGAUAUUGAGCCAAUUUCUUGGUGAUGGGAACUCCAUAGCCUGUAACAUUGGAAGUCACUUUGUACUUAGGCUCCUGACAAGAUUAUCCAAAUUGCAUCCAAAAA
Long non-coding RNA from Phyllostomus discolor (pale spear-nosed bat), 3165 nucleotides. RefSeq lists it as uncharacterized. The transcript is spliced from 2 exons. The record is from RefSeq and is a predicted model, not a curated record. Lineage: Eukaryota; Metazoa; Chordata; Mammalia; Chiroptera; Phyllostomidae.